AUUGAACGCUGGCGGAAUGCUUUACACAUGCAAGUCGAACGGCAGCACGGGGGCAACCCUGGUGGCGAGUGGCGAACGGGUGAGUAAUACAUCGGAACGUGCCCAGUCGUGGGGGAUAACGUAGCGAAAGUUACGCUAAUACCGCAUACGAUUUACGGAUGAAAGCGGGGGACCGUAAGGCCUCGCGCGAUUGGAGCGGCCGAUGUCAGAUUAGGUAGUUGGUGAGGUAAAGGCUCACCAAGACGACGAUCUGUAGCUGGUCUGAGAGGACGACCCGCCCCGCUGGGACUGAGACACGGCCCAGACUCCGACGGGAAGGCGGCAGUGGGGAAUUUUGGACAAUGGGCGCAAGCCUGAUUCAGCCAUUCCGCGUGCAGGACGAAGGCCUUCGGGUUGUAAACUGCUUUUGUACGGAACGAAAAGGCUCUGGUUAAUACCUGGGGCUCAUGACGGUACCGUAAGAAUAAGCACCGGCUAACUACGUGCCAGCCGCCGCGGUAA
This 501-nucleotide ribosomal RNA is filed under the name uncultured bacterium. Its description in RNAcentral is "partial 16S ribosomal RNA". It matches the Rfam family "Bacterial small subunit ribosomal RNA", at positions 30 to 523 of the family's 1533-position model. The record is from RNAcentral.